GUCUACAGCCAUGCUACCCUGAACAAGCCCCAUCCCGUCUGAUCUCAGAAGCUAAGCAGGGUCAGGACUGGUUAGUACUUGGAUGGGAGACCACCUAGAAAGACCAGGUGCUGCAGGUG
This 119-nucleotide ribosomal RNA is filed under the name Pteropus alecto (black flying fox). The record is from RNAcentral. Lineage: Eukaryota; Metazoa; Chordata; Mammalia; Chiroptera; Pteropodidae.